CUCCAACAGCCGAGCCCAGGCCGGCCUCUGUCCCAGUGGGGAGGUCAUCAAUCGAGCCAGAGAGAUCCUGGAACGCAAGCAGAGACUUACAAUGCUCUGGUGUCGUCCUCUGAACAUGACAAAUAAAAGGGACGACUUAAGAGAGGAAGAAAAGAGCUGGCUUGACAGUGACGGGUGCGGUGGAGGUGAGCGUGUGAAGGAACAUCAGAAGAAACCCAGGCAAGAAAGCCCUGAGCAGUAAUUUUCAGAACAAUCUGCAUCCUACAUUUUGAAGAUACAACAAACCGAGAUAUGGGAGAAAUGUCAUGAAAAGUGACAACACAACCAAAUCUAAAAAUCUGACAAUAAGAAAAGAAAUCACAAAGCUGUCAGAAAUGAAAAAAAAGGGAACAGGCACAUGCACCCUCUGAAUUAACUUCACGGCUGCGCUGCCACAGUCGAGCAGGCAAACACGCAGCCGUACGAAGAAAAAAAAAAGCUCCUCAGAAGCCAACGAGUAAAGUGUGAGGAACAAAAACACGUCAAUCUGCUUCAUCCAAAAAAGAAUCAGAGCUGCUCCGCCGUGUCCUUUGAGAGAUCGUUUUUUUAACUCUUCCCUGCUCCACGUCGACGUCAUCCGUCAGAAGAUGACAAAUGUGACAUGACAGCUCCGCUCGGGAAGCUGCAGACGGAAAACUACUCACAGCCAGCACAGUCUGCACGAAGGGGAAGUUUCUUGGAAACAGCAUUUUUAAAUAAGCGUGUGUUCUGAAAAUGCGAUAAAGAGGUUAAAUAAAAAGUCUAUUUGGCAUCACAGAGUUAUAAUGUUGAAUUCAAUAA
Molecule: long non-coding RNA, 819 nt
Organism: Xiphophorus couchianus (Monterrey platyfish)
Lineage: Eukaryota; Metazoa; Chordata; Actinopteri; Cyprinodontiformes; Poeciliidae
Exons: 3
Source: RefSeq, a predicted model, not a curated record